This 560-nucleotide ribosomal RNA is filed under the name uncultured bacterium. RNAcentral describes it as "bacterial SSU rRNA". It matches the Rfam family "Bacterial small subunit ribosomal RNA", at positions 338 to 916 of the family's 1533-position model. The record is from RNAcentral.
CCUACGGGAGGCAGCAGUGGGGAAUCUUGGACAAUGGGGGCAACCCUGAUCCAGCCAUGCCGCGUGAGUGAAGAAGGCCCUAGGGUCGUAAAACUCUUUCGCCUGUGAUGAUAAUGACAGUAGCAGGUAAAGAAACCCCGGCUAACUCCGUGCCAGCAGCCGCGGUAAUACGGAGGGGGUUAGCGUUGUUCGGAAUUACUGGGCGUAAAGCGCGCGUAGGCGGAUUGGAAAGUUGGGGGUGAAAUCCCGGGGCUCAACCCCGGAACUGCCUUCAAAACUCCCAGUCUAGAGUUCGAGAGAGGUGAGUGGAAUUCCGAGUGUAGAGGUGAAAUUCGUAGAUAUUCGGAAGAACACCAGUGGCGAAGGCGGCUCACUGGCUCGAUACUGACGCUGAGGUGCGAAAGUGUGGGGAGCAAACAGGAUUAGAUACCCUGGUAGUCCACACCGUAAACGAUGAAUGCCAGUCGUCGGAUAGUAUACUAUUCGGUGACACACCUAACGGAUUAAGCAUUCCGCCUGGGGAGUACGGUCGCAAGAUUAAAACUCAAAUGAAUUGACGG